This 495-nucleotide ribosomal RNA is filed under the name uncultured bacterium. RNAcentral's name for it is "partial 16S ribosomal RNA". It matches the Rfam family "Bacterial small subunit ribosomal RNA", at positions 28 to 507 of the family's 1533-position model. The record is from RNAcentral.
GACGAACGCUGGCGGCGUGCCUAAUACAUGCAAGUAGAACGCUGAAGGAGGAGCUUGCUUCUCUGGAUGAGUUGCGAACGGGUGAGUAACGCGUAGGUAACCUGCCUGGUAGCGGGGGAUAACUAUUGGAAACGAUAGCUAAUACCGCAUAAGAGUAGAUGUUGCAUGACAUUUGCUUAAAAGGUGCAAUUGCAUCACUACCAGAUGGACCUGCGUUGUAUUAGCUAGUUGGUGGGGUAACGGCUCGCCAAGGCGACGAUACAUAGCCGACCUGAGAGGGUGAUCGGCCACACUGGGACUGAGACACGGCCCAGACUCCUACGGGAGGCAGCAGUAGGGAAUCUUCGGCAAUGGACGGAAGUCUGACCGAGCAACGCCGCGUGAGUGAAGAAGGGUGUCGGAUCGUAAAGCUCUGUUGUAAGAGAAGAACGAGUGUGAGAGUGGAAAGUUCACACUGUGACGGUAUCUUACCAGAAAGGGACGGCUAACUACGUG